GACGUAGGGGGCGAGCGUUGCCCGGAUUCACUGGGCGUAAAGCGGGUGUAGGCGGUCCGUUAAGUCGAGUGUGAAAUCUCCAGGCUCAACCUGGAAACUGCACCCGAUACUGGCGGACUUGAGGACGGUAGAGGUCGGUGGAAUGCGCAGUGUACCGGUGAAAUGGACAGAUAUUGCGCGGAACACCAGUGGCGAAGGCGGCCGACUGGGCCGAUCCUGACGCUGAGACCCGAAAGCCAGGGGAGCGAACCGG
Molecule: ribosomal RNA, 253 nt
Filed under: uncultured bacterium
Lineage: Bacteria
Description: partial 16S ribosomal RNA
Rfam family: Bacterial small subunit ribosomal RNA
Source: RNAcentral